GUGUCAAGUGAAAAUAACUUGAGGGCUAUGAUGGAAAAGAUGUGGAGUUCACCUGGCUGAGAGGGAACGACUCUGCAUGGGCUGGAAACCCUGUGGCUUGCUUAGUACACCAUACAGUGGUAUUUCACCUUGGUCACCAGAUCGCAGCAGGAGACAGGUGUAGCUGGUGGGGAUGGACUGAGUCGGAAGAGGAGGAGGCUCCUGAAGAGCAGCUAAUUCUUGCCUUUUGCUUGACUGUGGUCUAAGGACAUGGAAGGACAGUGAUCUGAUGAUGGACCACCGCGUAAGGUACACAAUGAUGAGAGACUUGAGUCCUGCUUUCUAACUUAGAAAAGGCAUGUGUGUUGAACACCUGGCCACGGAGAA
Molecule: long non-coding RNA, 366 nt
Filed under: Macaca mulatta (Rhesus monkey)
Lineage: Eukaryota; Metazoa; Chordata; Mammalia; Primates; Cercopithecidae
Description: lncRNA (ENSMMUG00000060951.1)
Source: RNAcentral